CGUAGUUCUCAGGGCGGGGUGAAACUCCCCACCGGCGGUAACGGACAGCAAUGCCCGGAGCCCGCGAGCGCUUCCGGUUUCACGCCGGAAGGUCAGCAGAUCCGGUUGAAUUCCGGAGCCGACGGUCACAGUCCGGAUGGAAGAGAGCAAAC
RNAcentral lists this non-coding RNA (152 nucleotides) under Rhizobium sp. RNAcentral describes it as "FMN sequence". It matches the Rfam family "FMN riboswitch aptamer (RFN element)". From Rfam's summary of the family: The RFN element is a highly conserved domain that is found frequently in the 5'-untranslated regions of prokaryotic mRNAs that encode for flavin mononucleotide (FMN) biosynthesis and transport proteins. This element is a metabolite-dependent riboswitch that directly binds FMN in the absence of proteins. The record is from RNAcentral. Lineage: Bacteria; Pseudomonadati; Pseudomonadota; Alphaproteobacteria; Hyphomicrobiales; Rhizobiaceae. RNAcentral also lists the same sequence under 1 other name.